This 707-nucleotide unclassified non-coding RNA is filed under the name Homo sapiens (human). RNAcentral's name for it is "stimulator of interferon response cGAMP interactor 1 (ENSG00000288243.1)". Lineage: Eukaryota; Metazoa; Chordata; Mammalia; Primates; Hominidae. The record is from RNAcentral.
AUUUUCAGGCUGCACUCAGAGAAGCUGCCCUUGGCUGCUCGUAGCGCCGGGCCUUCUCUCCUCGUCAUCAUCCAGAGCAGCCAGUGUCCGGGAGGCAGAAGAUGCCCCACUCCAGCCUGCAUCCAUCCAUCCCGUGUCCCAGGGGUCACGGGGCCCAGAAGGCAGCCUUGGUUCUGCUGAGUGCCUGCCUGGUGACCCUUUGGGGGCUAGGAGAGCCACCAGAGCACACUCUCCGGUACCUGGUGCUCCACCUAGCCUCCCUGCAGCUGGGACUGCUGUUAAACGGGGUCUGCAGCCUGGCUGAGGAGCUGCGCCACAUCCACUCCAGGUACCGGGGCAGCUACUGGAGGACUGUGCGGGCCUGCCUGGGCUGCCCCCUCCGCCGUGGGGCCCUGUUGCUGCUGUCCAUCUAUUUCUACUACUCCCUCCCAAAUGCGGUCGGCCCGCCCUUCACUUGGAUGCUUGCCCUCCUGGGCCUCUCGCAGUGUGUGAAAAAGGGAAUUUCAACGUGGCCCAUGGGCUGGCAUGGUCAUAUUACAUCGGAUAUCUGCGGCUGAUCCUGCCAGAGCUCCAGGCCCGGAUUCGAACUUACAAUCAGCAUUACAACAACCUGCUACGGGGUGCAGUGAGCCAGCGGCUGUAUAUUCUCCUCCCAUUGGACUGUGGGGUGCCUGAUAACCUGAGUAUGGCUGACCCCAACAUUCGCU